RNAcentral lists this ribosomal RNA (253 nucleotides) under uncultured bacterium. Its description in RNAcentral is "partial 16S ribosomal RNA". It matches the Rfam family "Bacterial small subunit ribosomal RNA", at positions 524 to 776 of the family's 1533-position model. The record is from RNAcentral.
UACGUAGGGUGCAAGCGUUAAUCGGAAUUACUGGGCGUAAAGCGUGCGCAGGCGGUUUUGUAAGUCUGUCGUGAAAUCCCCGGGCUCAACCUGGGAAUUGCGAUGGAGACUGCAAGGCUAGAAUCUGGCAGAGGGGGGUAGAAUUCCACGUGUAGCAGUGAGAUGCGUAGAGAUGUGGAGGAACACCGAUGGCGAAGGCAGCCCCCUGGGUCAAGAUUGACGCUCAUGCACGAAAGCGUGGGGAGCAAACAGG